RNAcentral lists this non-coding RNA (103 nucleotides) under Robertmurraya massiliosenegalensis. RNAcentral's name for it is "TPP riboswitch (THI element)". It matches the Rfam family "TPP riboswitch aptamer (THI element)", at positions 7 to 92 of the family's 105-position model. Rfam says of the family: Vitamin B(1) in its active form thiamin pyrophosphate (TPP) is an essential coenzyme that is synthesised by coupling of pyrimidine and thiazole moieties in bacteria. The previously detected thiamin-regulatory element, thi box was extended, resulting in a new, highly conserved RNA secondary structure, the THI element, which is widely distributed in eubacteria and also occurs in some archaea. The record is from RNAcentral. Lineage: Bacteria; Bacillati; Bacillota; Bacilli; Caryophanales; Bacillaceae.
UAGCACUAGGGGAGUCCUUUCAUAUCGAAAGACUGAGAUUGAACUAAAGUUCUAAACCCUUUGAACCUGAUUCAGUUAGAACUGACGUAGGGAAGUGGAUAUG